Molecule: ribosomal RNA, 301 nt
Filed under: uncultured bacterium
Lineage: Bacteria
Description: partial 16S ribosomal RNA
Rfam family: Bacterial small subunit ribosomal RNA
Source: RNAcentral
CAGCCGCCGCGGUAAUACGUAGGGUGCAAGCGUUGUCCGGAAUUAUUGGGCGUAAAGAGCUCGUAGGCGGUUUGUCGCGUCUGCUGUGAAAUCCCGAGGCUCAACCUCGGGCUUGCAGUGGGUACGGGCAGACUAGAGUGCGGUAGGGGAGAUUGGAAUUCCUGGUGUAGCGGUGGAAUGCGCAGAUAUCAGGAGGAACACCGAUGGCGAAGGCAGAUCUCUGGGCCGUAACUGACGCUGAGGAGCGAAAGCGUGGGGAGCGAACAGGAUUAGAUACCCCCGUAGUCCCUGUCUCUUAUAC